This 460-nucleotide ribosomal RNA is filed under the name uncultured bacterium. Its description in RNAcentral is "partial 16S ribosomal RNA". It matches the Rfam family "Bacterial small subunit ribosomal RNA", at positions 338 to 795 of the family's 1533-position model. The record is from RNAcentral.
CCUACGGGUGGCAGCAGUGAGGAAUAUUGGUCAAUGGACGAGAGUCUGAACCAGCCAAGUAGCGUGAAGGAUGACUGCCCUAUGGGUUGUAAACUUCUUUUAUAAAGGAAUAAAACGAGGCACGUGUGCCUUUUUGCAUGUACUUUAUGAAUAAGGAUCGGCGAACUCCGUGCCAGCAGCCGCGGUAAUACGGAGGAUCCGAGCGUUAUCCGGAUGUAUUGGGUUUAAAGGGAGCGUAGAUGGGUUGUUAAGUCAGUUGUGAAAGUUUGCGGCUCAACCGUAAAAUUGCAAUUGAUACUGGCAGUCUUGAGUACAGUUGAGGUAGGAGGAAUUCGUGGUGUAGCGGUGAAAGGCUUAGAUAUCACGAAGAACCCCGAUUGCGAAGGCAGCUUACUAAACUGUGACUGACAUUGAUGCUCGAAAGUGUGGGUAUCAAACAGGAUUAGAUACCCGGGUAGCC